RNAcentral lists this small nuclear RNA (322 nucleotides) under Octodon degus (degu). RNAcentral's name for it is "7SK RNA (ENSODEG00000023032.1)". The stretch from base 1 to 285 matches the Rfam family "7SK RNA". From Rfam's summary of the family: 7SK was discovered as an abundant small nuclear RNA in the mid-70s but a possible function has only recently been suggested. Two independent studies have found that 7SK RNA binds the CDK9/cyclin T complex (known as elongation factor P-TEFb). Lineage: Eukaryota; Metazoa; Chordata; Mammalia; Rodentia; Octodontidae. The record is from RNAcentral.
GGAUGUUAGGGUGACCUGGCCGCCACCCAUUAAUCACUAGGGCGGGUUCCACUGAUCUGGUGGGCUAGGAGAGUGUCCCCUCAUCCCUUACUGCUCUGUGUGUGUCUUUCCAAAGCUGUGUGCUCAGCUGGUCAAGGAGGACAACCACCCCUGAUGGAGAAGGACCCUUUCCUUGGUCAAGGGUGCACAAGCAGCUGUGUUCCCUUCCUAGAACCUCCAAACAAACUUUCAAAACUGACAGAGAAAUAAGGUAUUUCCAUUAUAAGGAGCAUUGAACAAAUUCAUGACUACCAAACCAGCAACAAAAAAUUCUCAAGGAUAU